RNAcentral lists this ribosomal RNA (1587 nucleotides) under Candidatus Atribacteria bacterium HGW-Atribacteria-1. RNAcentral's name for it is "bacterial LSU rRNA". It matches the Rfam family "Bacterial large subunit ribosomal RNA", at positions 1272 to 2823 of the family's 2925-position model. Lineage: Bacteria; Pseudomonadati; Atribacterota. The record is from RNAcentral.
CCUGGACUAAAAGGAAGUGAGAAUGCCGGCAUUAGUAACGAUAAGGAGAGUGAGAAUCUCUCCCGCCGAAAACCUAAGGUUUCCUGGGGAAGGUAAAUCCGCCCAGGGUUAGUCGGAACCUAAGCCGAGGCCGGAAGGCGUAGGUGAUGGACCACCGGUUAAUAUUCCGGUACUACCAGAUUAUCGCUUUAAGUGAUGGGGGGACGCAGGAAGGUAGGUCAGCACGAUAAAAGUUACGUGUCCAAGCCUGAUAUGGGAAGAGAUAGGAAAAUCCGUCUCUUAUUAAAACCCUAAGAGGUGAUAGGGAGCUGCUAUGGCAGCGAACUGAUCGAUCCUACACUGCCUAGAAAAUCCUCUAAACAAGAUAACCUGGUAUCCGUACUAAAACCGACACAGGUAGGUAGGUAGAGAAUACCAAGGCGCUCGAGAUAACCCUCGUUAAGGAACUCGGCAAAAUGACUCCGUAACUUCGGGAGAAGGAGUGCCCCGGUAGGGUGAGCCAAUUUACUUGGUUAGCCCGAGGGGGCUGCAAAGAAACGGCCCAAGCGACUGUUUACUAAAAACACAGGUCUCUGCUAAAUCGAAAGAUGAUGUAUAGGGACUGACGCCUGCCCGGUGCUGGAAGGUUAAGGAAGGGGGUUACUCCUCAAGUGAUUGAGGGGGAAGCUCUUGACCGAAGCCCCAGUAAACGGCGGCCGUAACUAUAACGGUCCUAAGGUAGCGAAAUUCCUUGUCGGGUAAGUUCCGACCCGCACGAAUGGCGUAACGAUUUGGGCACUGUCUCAACGAGGGACUCGGUGAAGUUGUAGUGUAAGUGAAGAUGCUUACUACCCGCGACAGGACGGAAAGACCCCGUGAACCUUUACUGUAGCCUGAUAUUGAACUUUAGCAUAUCCUGUGUAGGAUAGGUGGUAGGCUGUGAAAGAGGGGCGUCAGCCUCUCCGGAGCCAUCCUUGAAAUACCACCCUUGAUAUGUUCGGGUUCUAACCUUUCGCCGUUAUCCGGCAAAGGGACAGUAUUUGGUGGGCAGUUUGACUGGGGCGGUCACCUCCUAAAGAGUAACGGAGGUGUCCCAAGGUCUCCUCAGUGUGGUUGGAAAUCACACCUAAGAGUGUAAGGGCAUAAGGAGGCUUAACUGCGAGAGAGACAUCUCGAGCAGAUGCGAAAGCAGGGCCUAGUGAUCCGGCGGUAACUAGUGGAUGUGCCGUCGCUUAACGGAUAAAAGGUACUCCGGGGAUAACAGGCUGAUCUCCCCCAAGAGUCCAUAUCGACGGGGAGGUUUGGCACCUCGAUGUCGGCUCGUCGCAUCCUGGGGCUGAAGCAGGUCCCAAGGGUUUGGCUGUUCGCCAAUUAAAGCGGUACGCGAGCUGGGUUUAGAACGUCGUGAGACAGUUCGGUCCCUAUCCGUCGUGGGCGUAGGAUACUUGAAGAGGGUCUGCCUCUAGUACGAGAGGACCGAGGUGGACGAACCUCUAGUGUACCAGUUGUCCUGCUCAGGGCAUUGCUGGGUAGCUAUGUUCGGUCGGGAUAAACGCUGAAAGCAUCUAAGUGUGAAACCCACCUCAAGAUGAGGUAUCCCAUCUGGAU